RNAcentral lists this ribosomal RNA (252 nucleotides) under uncultured bacterium. RNAcentral describes it as "partial 16S ribosomal RNA". It matches the Rfam family "Bacterial small subunit ribosomal RNA", at positions 524 to 776 of the family's 1533-position model. The record is from RNAcentral.
UACGGGGGGGGCAAGCGUUGUUCGGAAUUACUGGGCGUAAAGGGUUUGUAGGUGGUCUGUUAAGUCAGACGUGAAAUCCCUCAGCUUAACUGGGGAACUGCGUCUGAGACUGAUGGACUUGAGGGCAGGAGAGGAACGCGGAAUUCCAGGUGUAGCGGUGAAAUGCGUAGAUAUCUGGAGGAACACCGGUGGCGAAGGCGGCGUUCUGGACUGUUUCUGACACUGUAAAACGAAAGCCAGGGAGCAAACGGG